This is a small nuclear RNA of Prolemur simus (greater bamboo lemur), 164 nucleotides long. Its record names the gene U1. It matches the Rfam family "U1 spliceosomal RNA". Rfam says of the family: U1 is a small nuclear RNA (snRNA) component of the spliceosome (involved in pre-mRNA splicing). NCBI's taxonomy places the organism in Eukaryota, Metazoa, Chordata, Mammalia, Primates, Lemuridae. The record is from Ensembl.
AUGCUUACCUGACAGGGGAGAUGUCUUGAUCACAAAGGUAGUUUUUCUGGGGUAAGGUGUAUUCAUUGAACUGUAGAUGUGCUGACCCCUGUGAUUUCCCCAAAUGUGGGAAACUUGAUGGCAUAAUUUGUGGUAGUAAGGGCCUGUGUUCGUACUUUUCUAUA